Molecule: unclassified non-coding RNA, 220 nt
Filed under: plant metagenome
Description: partial contains small subunit ribosomal RNA, internal transcribed spacer 1, and 5.8S ribosomal RNA
Source: RNAcentral
UUUCCGUAGGUGAACCUGCGGAAGGAUCAUUACAGAGUUCAUGCCCUCACGGGUAGAUCUCCCACCCUUGAAUAUUUAUACCUUAGUUGCUUUGGCAGGCCGUGGAACCACCAUGGGCUCCGGCUUAUGCGUGCCUGCCAGAGGAAACAAACUCUGUUUUUAGUGAUGUCUGAGUACUAUAUAAUAGUUAAAACUCUCAACAACGGAUCUCUUGGUUCUG